AGAGCUUUAGUUUAAUUAAAAUACCUGUGUUGCAGGCAGGAGAUGUAGUUAUUGCAAGUUCU
This 62-nucleotide transfer RNA is filed under the name Anilius scytale (false coral snake). Its description in RNAcentral is "tRNA-Ala". The record is from RNAcentral. Lineage: Eukaryota; Metazoa; Chordata; Lepidosauria; Squamata; Aniliidae.